CGCAUACGUCCUACGGGAGAAAGCAGGGGACCUUCGGGCCUUGCGCUAAUAGAUGAGCCUAAGUCGGAUUAGCUAGUUGGUGGGGUAAAGGCCUACCAAGGCGACGAUCUGUAGCGGGUCUGAGAGGAUGAUCCGCCACACUGGGACUGAGACACGGCCCAGACUCCUACGGGAGGCAGCAGUGGGGAAUAUUGGACAAUGGGGGGAACCCUGAUCCAGCCAUGCCGCGUGUGUGAAGAAGGCCUUUUGGUUGUAAAGCACUUUAAGCGAGGAGGAGGCUACCGAGAUUAAUACUCUUGGAUAGUGGACGUUACUCGCAGAAUAAGCACCGGCUAACUCUGUGCCAGCAGCCGCGGUAAUACAGAGGGUGCAAGCGUUAAUCGGAUUUACUGGGCGUAAAGCGCGCGUAGGUGGCCAAUUAAGUCAAAUGUGAAAUCCCCGAGCUUAACUUGGGAAUUGCAUUCGAUACUGGUUGGCUAGAGUAUGGGAGAGGAUGGUAGAAUUCCAGGUGUAGCGGUGAAAUGCGUAGA
RNAcentral lists this ribosomal RNA (530 nucleotides) under uncultured bacterium. Its description in RNAcentral is "bacterial SSU rRNA". It matches the Rfam family "Bacterial small subunit ribosomal RNA", at positions 170 to 694 of the family's 1533-position model. The record is from RNAcentral.